UAAGGCUCUAGAUGGUGUUGUGCAC
This 25-nucleotide non-coding RNA is filed under the name Mus musculus (house mouse). The record is from RNAcentral. Lineage: Eukaryota; Metazoa; Chordata; Mammalia; Rodentia; Muridae.